Molecule: ribosomal RNA, 460 nt
Filed under: uncultured bacterium
Lineage: Bacteria
Description: partial 16S ribosomal RNA
Rfam family: Bacterial small subunit ribosomal RNA
Source: RNAcentral
CCUACGGGAUGCUGCAGUGAGGAAUAUUGGUCAAUGGACGAGAGUCUGAACCAGCCAAGUAGCGUGAAGGAUGACUGCCCUAUGGGUUGUAAACUUCUUUUAUAUGGGAAUAAAACGUUCCACGUGUGGGAUUUUGUAUGUACCAUAUGAAUAAGGAUCGGCUAACUCCGUGCCAGCAGCCGCGGUAAUACGGAGGAUCCGAGCGUUAUCCGGAUUUAUUGGGUUUAAAGGGAGCGUAGGUGGAUUGUUAAGUCAGUUGUGAAAGUUUGCGGCUCAACCGUAAAAUUGCAGUUGAAACUGGCAGUCUUGAGUACAGUAGAGGUGGGUGGAAUUCGUGGUGUAGCGGUGAAAUGCUUAGAUAUCACGAAGAACUCCGAUUGCGAAGGCAGUUCACUGGACUGCAACUGACACUGAGGCUCGAAAGUGUGGGUAUCAAACAGGAUUAGAUACCCCUGUAGUC